This 253-nucleotide ribosomal RNA is filed under the name uncultured bacterium. RNAcentral describes it as "partial 16S ribosomal RNA". It matches the Rfam family "Bacterial small subunit ribosomal RNA", at positions 524 to 776 of the family's 1533-position model. The record is from RNAcentral.
UACGGAGGGUGCGAGCGUUGUUCGGAAUUACUGGGCGUAAAGGGCUCGUAGGCGGCCAACUAAGUCAGACGUGAAAUCCCUCAGCUUAACUGGGGAACUGCGUCUGAUACUGGAUGGCUUGGAUUCGGGAGAGGAAUGCGGAAUUCCAGGUGUAGCGGUGAAAUGCGUAGAUAUCUGGAGGAACACCGGUGGCGAAGGCGGCAUUCUGGACCGACAUUGACGCUGAGGAGCGAAAGCCAGGGGAGCAAACGGG